RNAcentral lists this transfer RNA (78 nucleotides) under Gemmatimonadetes bacterium T265. RNAcentral's name for it is "tRNA-Pro". Lineage: Bacteria; Pseudomonadati; Gemmatimonadota. The record is from RNAcentral.
CCCGCCGGGGCGGUCGGAGACGGUCACGUUCCGCCUCGGGGCGGCGGACCUCGCGUCGUUCGACCCGGCGCAGUCGGC